AUACGGAGGGGACUAGCGUUGUUCGGAAUUACUGGGCGUAAAGAGUUCGUAGGCGGACUGAUAAGUAAGAGGUGAAAUCCCAGGGCUCAACCCUGGAACUGCCUUUUAAACUGUCAGUCUAGAGACCGGAAGAGGUUAGGGGAAUACCUAGUGUAGAGGUGAAAUUCGUAGAUAUUAGGUGGAACACCAGUGGCGAAGGCGCCUAACUGGUCCGGUACUGACGCUGAGGAACGAAAGCGUGGGGAGCAAACAGGAUUAGAAACCCUAGUAGUCC
This 274-nucleotide ribosomal RNA is filed under the name uncultured bacterium. RNAcentral's name for it is "partial 16S ribosomal RNA". It matches the Rfam family "Bacterial small subunit ribosomal RNA", at positions 523 to 796 of the family's 1533-position model. The record is from RNAcentral.